RNAcentral lists this ribosomal RNA (254 nucleotides) under uncultured bacterium. Its description in RNAcentral is "partial 16S ribosomal RNA". It matches the Rfam family "Bacterial small subunit ribosomal RNA", at positions 524 to 776 of the family's 1533-position model. The record is from RNAcentral.
UACGAAGGGGGCUAGCGUUGUUCGGAAUUACUGGGCGUAAAGGGCGCGUAGGCGGUGUGUCAAGUCAGGCGUGAAAGCCCCGGGCUCAACCUGGGAACCGCGCUUGAGACUGGCACGCUCGAGUUCGGGAGAGGAUGGUGGAAUUCCCAGUGUAGAGGUGAAAUUCGUAGAUAUUGGGAAGAACACCGAUGGCGAAGGCAGCCAUCUGGACCGACACUGACGCUGAGGCGCGAAAGCGUGGGGGAGCAAACAGG